UUGUGUCUGAUGGUCCCGGGGACCCCUGCUGCCCCGCCCAGGACCUGCCUCAGCAAGGGGCCACCACGCGUUUGUUGAGUUACUUGAUGACGGGCCUCUGGCUCUUGGCCCAAAGCCCCAGCCAGGAGGGCCCGCGCUAGGGUCCGGCUCCUCUGCUCCGGCUGGGGGCCCGAAGGCGGAGCAGGGAUGAGAACAGUCUCCUCGCCCCCCCCCCCCCCCGAGUAGUUUCGGUGGCGGAAGUGAUGUCUAUUGCUGAACACGUGUGCUUAUGAAGACAUGUGACCCCUCAGCAGAGCCCGGGGAUGCCCGCGUUGCACACGUGAGGACUCGGGCGCAGGGAGGUGGCAGGGCUGUGCCCGGGGUCAUGGCCGCACAGGGGCAAAGCCUGGGUUUAAGCCCAGGCUCCCUGACGGCCCGCUGCACUGCCUGCCCCAGGGGAAGGGGAAGGGGAAGGGGAAGGGUAGGGCCUCUGACGCGGGUGGGGCGGGGGCCUGGGAGACGGCCGGGGACAGGUCGUGCCCUGCCGCCUCCUGGAAACGGAAGGUCAGCUGGAUACUGAAGCAGCCGUCCCCUCGCCCGCACCAGGGCCGACCAGCCAGGGCCCCCAGGCCAGCCGGGAAAACGUGCUGACCCUCACUGCCCGGUGUGAGGGUGGCCGCUGAAGUGGGUCCGCACGCACACCGCAGCGGCCGCUUACCCGCGAAUGUUGCCGGAGCCCGUGACGCCCCAUUGGUUUGUCUCUGCCUCUCCCGCCCGGGGACUGGCGUCAGGAGCCUGGAGUGCUGUGAUGGAUGGCACCGGCCGGUGCUCCCGCCGAGGCCAGAGUCCGCUCUGCGUCUGCAGGCCGCCCCGGGGCCUCACGCAGUGCCGCAGGUGAUCACGGGGGCACUGCCAGGCAAGAGGGCUGGGGCCCGGGCUCUGCCUCUCGAGCGCUGUGUGGCUCCAGACAAACGUCCUGGCCUCUCUGGGCCCCUGUGUGUGACUACUCUCCUGCCUCCCUGCUUGGGCUGAGGGUCCGUACAAAAAUGGGGCGCCGUGCGUGAGCCUCGCCAUCGAUGCAAGCUCCCCUCGGGCCGGCUGUUCGAUCCAGAACCUUCCGUGCCUGUGCUCACCUCACCCCCAGGCAACUCCGCAAGGCUGCCCACGUGCCCCAGCACAAGCGACCCCACGGUGGACUCAGGCCCGGACUCCGCGUGUCUCUGAGACUUGCUUCCUCUCGGUGUCAGGUGGCGUGGAGGGCAGGAGGGGCGUCGCUGGGCCCAUAACCCCAAGUGCCGGGUUCAAUGUCAUCACCCGCAGGCAGGGCCACGGAAGGGGAGGCACGGAAGGACCACGUGGUCAGCUCCACCCCAGCGGACGCAGCCUGUCUUCCUGCCCAGUAGCUGGGGCGGCCCCUGCCCACCGGGGCUCCCAGUCGCGAGGACCCGGCUGCUUCCAGGCACGAGGCGAGUCCCCCGUGAGUGCUGGUCCCUCUCCCUUGCCGGCUCUGUCCUCGGCCCAGUCCCGCUCUCCCUCUCCCUGCUGCCCCUGCCCUGUGAGAGGCUCUGAUCCCGCGGGAUUCCUGGCAUGCCCCAGGGACUCCAGGCCAUGCUUCUCAGGGACGGAGGGAGGGGCCGCCAGCCCUCUGGGGACAGGGCCGUUUUGGCACCUGCUAAUUGGGAGGCCUGGGUUUGAACCCACAUUUUCCGCAGGCUGAAGGAGCCUCCGCACUGAUUCUGGAAGAGGCCAGAUUCCUCCUUCCACGUUUCCAGCCCUGCCCCCCCCCUUCCCUGGAGCCCUUCUACAACAGGACCGAACCACCCGUUAUUUAAUAAAAUUGUCAGAACAACUGA
Long non-coding RNA from Leopardus geoffroyi (Geoffroy's cat), 1832 nucleotides. RefSeq lists it as uncharacterized. NCBI's taxonomy places the organism in Eukaryota, Metazoa, Chordata, Mammalia, Carnivora, Felidae. The record is from RefSeq and is a predicted model, not a curated record. The transcript has 2 exons.